Molecule: ribosomal RNA, 356 nt
Filed under: uncultured bacterium
Lineage: Bacteria
Description: partial 16S ribosomal RNA
Rfam family: Bacterial small subunit ribosomal RNA
Source: RNAcentral
CCUACGCGAGGCUGCAGUGGGGAAUAUUGCACAAUGGGGGAAACCCUGAUGCAGCGACGCCGCGUGAGUGAAGAAGUAUCUCGGUAUGUAAAGCUCUAUCAGCAGGAACGAGACAAGACGGUACCUGACUAAGAAGCCCCGGCUAACUACGUGCCAGCAGCCGCGGUAAUACGUAGGGGGCAAGCGUUAUCCGGAAUCACUGGGUGUAACGGGAGCGUAGACGGGUGUGCAAGGCUGAAGUGAAAGGCGGGGGCACAACCCCUGGACUGCUUUGGGAACUGUACGGCUGGAGUGCAGGAGAGGUAAGUGGAAUGUAUAGUGUAGCGGUGAAAUGCGUAGAGAUUAGAAGGAACACC